GCGCCCGUAGCUCAACUGGAUAGAGCAGGAGCAUCCUAAGCUCAAGGUUGGGGGUUCAAGUCCCUCCGGGCACACCA
This 77-nucleotide transfer RNA is filed under the name Vicinamibacteria bacterium. Its description in RNAcentral is "tRNA-Arg". It matches the Rfam family "tRNA". From Rfam's summary of the family: Transfer RNA (tRNA) molecules are approximately 80 nucleotides in length. Their secondary structure includes four short double-helical elements and three loops (D, anti-codon, and T loops). The record is from RNAcentral. Lineage: Bacteria; Pseudomonadati; Acidobacteriota; Vicinamibacteria.